AGCAAGGCAACUGUGGAAAUCAGUUCUGGGGAAAAUCUCAAGAUGCCUAUGGAUUUCUUUGCUUACACUAUACUGACCCUCAACUCCUGAACUAUUUGAUAGAAGGAAAACUGGGCAGCCCUUCUGGAGAGGAGCGUCAGUCAAGGAGUGAAUGCCAUGAUUAGUUUUCCUUUACCUCACCACUGGGACGGUCCUUGAUAGUUUAUAGAAUUCAUUCCCUCAAGCUUGUGUCCCUU
Suricata suricatta (meerkat) is the source of this 236-nucleotide long non-coding RNA. RefSeq lists it as uncharacterized. The record is from RefSeq and is a predicted model, not a curated record. The transcript is spliced from 3 exons. NCBI's taxonomy places the organism in Eukaryota, Metazoa, Chordata, Mammalia, Carnivora, Herpestidae.